RNAcentral lists this microRNA precursor (81 nucleotides) under Tursiops truncatus (common bottlenose dolphin). RNAcentral's name for it is "miRNA (ENSTTRG00000024983.1)". Lineage: Eukaryota; Metazoa; Chordata; Mammalia; Artiodactyla; Delphinidae. The record is from RNAcentral.
AUUGGGUUGGCCAAAAAGUUCAUUUGGGUUUUUCUGUAACAGCUUAUGAAAAACCCAAACGAACUUUUUGGCCAAUGCAAU